Molecule: long non-coding RNA, 291 nt
Filed under: Mytilus galloprovincialis (Mediterranean mussel)
Lineage: Eukaryota; Metazoa; Mollusca; Bivalvia; Mytilida; Mytilidae
Source: RNAcentral
CAAGUAUUCAGUACUAUUCUUUUUAUUAAAUGGAACACAUCAUAUCUAAUUAAAACGCAGGCUAAUUUUUAACUAUUUUUUAAAUCGUAGAGGACCAAGAAAAAAGGGGGAGGGUAAUUUCAAAAAGUCAUGAUUUUGAAUGAAAAGAAGCAUACGUACUAAUUUUCUUGAUAAAAUGGUAUAUAUUUUUUUACAUUGAAACAUAGCGCAUAAAGUAACUAAAGGCUGUUGAAAAAACAUUUAAAGGUGAGACACAAAAACAUAGAAUCCACGGCAAACCCAAACAUAAGC